UACGAAGGGUGCAAGCGUUACUCGGAAUUACUGGGCGUAAAGCGUGCGUAGGCGGUUCGUUAAGUCCGUUGUGAAAGCCCUGGGCUCAACCUGGGAAUGGCAGUGGAUACUGGCGAGCUAGAGUGUGAUAGAGGAUGGUGGAAUUCCCGGUGUAGCGGCGAAAUGCGUAGAGAUCGGGAGGAACACCAGUGGCGAAGGCGGCCAUCUGGAUCAACACUGACGCUGAGGCACGAAAGCGUGGGGAGCAAACAGG
Molecule: ribosomal RNA, 253 nt
Filed under: uncultured bacterium
Lineage: Bacteria
Description: partial 16S ribosomal RNA
Rfam family: Bacterial small subunit ribosomal RNA
Source: RNAcentral